UACGUAGGGGGCAAGCGUUGUCCGGAUUUAUUGGGCGUAAAGAGCGUGUAGGCGGCUUGGUAAGUCCGCUGUGAAAGUCCAGGGCUCAACCCUGGAAUGCCGGUGGAAACUGUCAAGCUUGAGUCCGGAAGAGGCGAGUGGAAUUCCUGGUGUAGCGGUGAAAUGCGCAGAUAUCAGGAGGAACACCAAUGGCGAAGGCAGCGCGCUGGGACGGUACUGACGCUGAGACGCGAAAGCGUGGGGAGCAAACAGG
Molecule: ribosomal RNA, 253 nt
Filed under: uncultured bacterium
Lineage: Bacteria
Description: partial 16S ribosomal RNA
Rfam family: Bacterial small subunit ribosomal RNA
Source: RNAcentral